Molecule: long non-coding RNA, 395 nt
Organism: Mus musculus (house mouse)
Lineage: Eukaryota; Metazoa; Chordata; Mammalia; Rodentia; Muridae
Product: predicted gene, 40672
Exons: 3
Source: RefSeq, a predicted model, not a curated record
UUCCUGGAAGGUUGGCCUGUGUGGAGAGGAUCAGAAGAACCAGGCCAGUGUGUUUAUCAUCCUCAGCCUCCUUCCUCCUUAGAAGGUAGCUUUAGGAUGCGGUAUCUCUCAACCAAGGCUCUUUCAAGGUGUCUUGCUCAUCCAACUGGUCUCUCGCAGACUCCCUCAGCCCUUCAUAGGCCCAUGAGGAUGAAGGGAGAGGAGCUGAUACACGGAGUUUCUGACAGCCCGGCCUCCUGGAGGGAUACAUCCACCCACGAAUGAGCUAAGCCAGGAAGCAGAGUUACAGGGAAUGGGAGCUAUAACCCAGAGGGAAUGUGAAGAGACUCUCCAGCAAGCCCAUGAGGACACAACCAGCAAGAGCCAGCAAGAACCAAACAGAAACCAUGGAGGGU